UUAUGGCUCAGGACGAACGCUGGCGGCACGCUUAACACAUGCAAGUCGAACGGAGUUAUCGAGAGCUUGCUUUGAUAACUUAGUGGCGGACGGGUGAGUAACACGUGAGCAAUCUGCCCUUAAGAGGGGGAUAGCAGUUGGAAACGACUGAUAAUACCGCAUAAGAUAGUAGUACCGCAUGGUACAGCUAUAAAAGAUUUAUCGCUUAAGGAUGAGCUCGCGUCUGAUUAGCUAGUUGGUGAGGUAACGGCUCACCAAGGCAACGAUCAGUAGCCGGACUGAGAGGUUGGACGGCCACAUUGGGACUGAGACACGGCCCAGACUCCUACGGGAGGCAGCAGUGGGGAAUAUUGCACAAUGGAGGAAACUCUGAUGCAGCGAUGCCGCGUGAGGGAAGAAGGUUUUAGGAUUGUAAACCUCUGUUGACAGGGACGAUAAUGACGGUACCUGUUGAGGAAGCUCCGGCUAACUACGUGCCAGCCGCAGC
This 487-nucleotide ribosomal RNA is filed under the name uncultured bacterium. RNAcentral's name for it is "bacterial SSU rRNA". It matches the Rfam family "Bacterial small subunit ribosomal RNA", at positions 17 to 518 of the family's 1533-position model. The record is from RNAcentral.